Salvia miltiorrhiza (redroot sage) is the source of this 626-nucleotide long non-coding RNA. RefSeq lists it as uncharacterized. The transcript has 2 exons. The record is from RefSeq and is a predicted model, not a curated record. NCBI's taxonomy places the organism in Eukaryota, Viridiplantae, Streptophyta, Magnoliopsida, Lamiales, Lamiaceae.
UUAAUCAGUUUUAGCUGGGUAUUUAAUAAAACAAGCCCAGCCCCUUUAAAAAAUCAUUUUCGCAGCCCACAGAAUUCCACAGCAGCAGCCCACAAAAGGAACAGGCCCAGCCUUUGAACACUGCAGCCCAACAACUCCUCUUGGCCCAAAACCCAAUUUUCAGCAGCAAGGGUUUGAGAAAAGGAUUUGCAGCAGCAGCUGCCGCCUCCUUUCUCGUCACCACGCCCGGAGCCCUGGAGCCACGCCGCCGCCGCUCGAAGCCACGAUGCAGACGACGUCGCGCGACCUCGUAAGCGGCGACGUCUCCAGACGCUUGCCUGCGUCCUCACCGUUUCUCGGCCAUUCCGGCGGAAGGAGCAUGAAGCUCCUCGUCGCUGUUUACAGCCGCGGAUCCGCCGCCUCCAGCGUGCAAGACCUCCACCAACAGUCGCCCUCCAUUUUUUGGACUCCAAGCCCGAGAUGGCGGGACUGCCACAGGGAUGCAGCAGCGCGUCGGCUUGAAGCCACGACGCAGCUGCCGGCUGGUGGUCGGGCGCUGCACACCGGCGAGCCCCGAGCCACCGUCGCCGCCUCGUCCAUGAAGGUGGUCGGCUCAGAUCCGGCGAGUGUGAAACGAAUAUUGCCCA